Molecule: unclassified non-coding RNA, 364 nt
Filed under: Pittocaulon filare
Lineage: Eukaryota; Viridiplantae; Streptophyta; Magnoliopsida; Asterales; Asteraceae
Description: partial external transcribed spacer
Source: RNAcentral
ACUUCCACCUGGCUUACUCCUCAGUUAUGCGAAAAGGCUUGUAUUGCCUGGAGCGUAUUAUGGGUUUUUUGUGUUGCAUACCUAAUUGAUGGCAUCGUUUUGACUAACUGAAGUCCUUUUUUGUUGUGUGUUGCCUUUGUGACACAUGAUGAACCUUGAAGUGGUCUUUAUGAUCCAUCUUGUUGAUGCAGAUGCAUUGAUUGUGUGGCCCAUUGAGUUUUUCUUGGUCUCUUGGAUACGGAACAUGAUGUGGCUUUAGGUUCUUUCAUGAUCCUUGUUUUGCCCUUGUUUGCUUUUCUCUAAACGACGGUUCAUGCACGUCUAGGCUUGUACCUGCGUGAUGAUCUAUGUCGAAGUUGAAUGC